Molecule: long non-coding RNA, 638 nt
Filed under: Fukomys damarensis (Damara mole-rat)
Lineage: Eukaryota; Metazoa; Chordata; Mammalia; Rodentia; Bathyergidae
Description: lncRNA (ENSFDAG00000025460.1)
Source: RNAcentral
UUCUGGCUGCUUUGGCGUCUACAGUGUGUUGCUUUCUGGGCUGGAUUCCACUGUUCGGAGAAGGGGAAUGAUUUACAACAAUCACAGAGCACAGUGCAGAGCCCACAUCAAUGUCUGGCUCCUUUAUUAGUGUAAGCUUGCAACACAAAAUAGUUACAUUUGUUUUCAGUGCCCAAAUAUGACAGACAUAUCUUGAUCAUUUUCAAUUCUUUCCCAUUGCAUUCUCCAUCUCCAAAAUGACUGCCCUUUUACUCCCAUCUCUCCUUCAUUUUGCUCCUUUAUUUAUUCAUAUUUUAGGCUUCAGUUGCUGCAGUAGUUGCAUUGGAGGGCAACUUCUGUCCCUGAAUAUUUCAGUGCAGGAAUUGCCUGGGUCCCCAUGCUGUCUCUCAUGCAAAGAGCGGACCGGAGGAGGACUCCCGAAGCUCAGAGGGAAGGAAGUCAUUACAGGGCCCCGGCAGAAGCAGGUCAUGUGCUACAGCUGCUCAUAGUUUAAGAGGAAGAAACAGCGGACCUUAAACCUGGAACCCGACUCUUUCAAAAUGUUUGUGAGCAGCCCAAGAAAAACAUCCUCCUGAGCCUUAUCUAAUAAGCCUGAUCCCUAAUCGGCUCAGUGUGUGCCCGUUUCCCUAGACUUUGCA